Long non-coding RNA from Pyrgilauda ruficollis (rufous-necked snowfinch), 540 nucleotides. RefSeq lists it as uncharacterized. The record is from RefSeq and is a predicted model, not a curated record. NCBI's taxonomy places the organism in Eukaryota, Metazoa, Chordata, Aves, Passeriformes, Passeridae. The transcript is spliced from 2 exons.
GGUACUUGGAGGAUUUUGUCAGUGGGAUCCUGUUGUUGGAACCCUCAUGAGCAUGGAGCUUUGCCAGGAAUGCAGCAUUUGCUCUGACCUGAGGAAUCAUUUGGAAAAGUCUUGUCUUUUGUGUUAAUCCUAGUGCAGAAUCUGUCAUUAGUUGUGAAGAAACACAUUCAGUGUCAUCGUGAAGAACUCAGGGAGUAACAGCCUAAAUCAGCUUCCUUCAGCUCUAAAUGUGGGUGUAAAUGUCAGCAGAGGGAGAUGAACACACCUGAGGGAAAGCAGGACAAACCAACUUGGAUUUGGCAAAUGCCAUCCCUGUCACUCAGGUUUUCCAUCAUUUACCUGUCCAAUCUCCUGUUUGGUGUUGUUCCAUGACAAACAACUUCUGUAUAAAGGAAAACAAAGGUAUAUAUUUUUUUUUCUAUUGAGUUUGUUUUGUUCUGGUGUAAUAUAUUGUCCUUAGAACAUCAUGUAAAGCUGAGAGAUGAAGCAACUGAUACAUUAUUUAUAACGAGCAUAAAAAAUACAUUAAUGUACAAUGCA